CAGGCUUAACACAUGCAAGUCGAGGGGCUGCAUGGUCUUAGCUUGCUAAGGCCGAUGGCGACCGGCGCACGGGUGAGUAACACGUAUCCAACCUGCCGUCUACUCUUGGACAGCCUUCUGAAAGGAAGAUUAAUACAAGAUGGCAUCAUGAGUCCGCAUGUUCACAUGAUUAAAGGUAUUCCGGUAGACGAUGGGGAUGCGUUCCAUUAGAUAGUAGGCGGGGUAACGGCCCACCUAGUCUUCGAUGGAUAGGGGUUCUGAGAGGAAGGUCCCCCACAUUGGAACUGAGACACGGUCCAAACUCCUACGGGAGGCAGCAGUGAGGAAUAUUGGUCAAUGGGCGAGAGCCUGAACCAGCCAAGUAGCGUGAAGGAUGACUGCCCUAUGGGUUGUAAACUUCUUUUAUAAAGGAAUAAAGUCGGGUAUGGAUACCCGUUUGCAUGUACUUUAUGAAUAAGGAUCGGCUAACUCCGUGCCAGCAGCCGCGGUAAUACGGAGGAUCCGAGCGUUAUCCGGAUUUAUUGGGUUUAAAGGGAGCGUAGAUGGAUGUUUAAGUCAGUUGUGAAAGUUUGCGGCUCAACCGUAAAAUUGCAGUUGAUACUGGAUAUCUUGAGUGCAGUUGAGGCAGGCGGAAUUCGUGGUGUAGCGGUGAAAUGCUUAGAUAUCACGAAGAACUCCGAUUGCGAAGGCAGCCUGCUAAGCUGCAACUGACAUUGAGGCUCGAAAGUGUGGGUAUCAAACAGGAUUAGAUACCCUGGUAGUCCACACGGUAAACGAUGAAUACUCGCUGUUUGCGAUAUACUGCAAGCGGCCAAGCGAAAGCGUUAAGUAUUCCACCUGGGGAGUACGCCGGCAACGGUGAAACUCAAAGGAAUUGACGGGGGCCCGCACAAGCGGAGGAACAUGUGGUUUAAUUCGAUGAUACGCGAGGAACCUUACCCGGGCUUAAAUUGCAGAUGAAUUACGGUGAAAGCCGUAAGCCGCAAGGCAUCUGUGAAGGUGCUGCAUGGUUGUCGUCAGCUCGUGCCGUGAGGUGUCGGCUUAAGUGCCAUAACGAGCGCAACCCUUGUUGUCAGUUACUAACAGGUUCCGCUGAGGACUCUGACAAGACUGCCAUCGUAAGAUGUGAGGAAGGUGGGGAUGACGUCAAAUCAGCACGGCCCUUACGUCCGGGGCUACACACGUGUUACAAUGGGGGGUACAGAGGGCCGCUACCACGCGAGUGGAUGCCAAUCCCCAAAACCUCUCUCAGUUCGGACUGGAGUCUGCAACCCGACUCCACGAAGCUGGAUUCGCUAGUAAUCGCGCAUCAGCCACGGCGCGGUGAAUACGUUCCCGGGCCUUGUACACACCGCCCGUCAAGCCAUGGGAGCCGGGGGUACCUGAAGUGCGUAACCGCGAGGAGCGCCCUAGGGUAAAACUGGU
Molecule: ribosomal RNA, 1425 nt
Filed under: uncultured organism
Description: 16S ribosomal RNA
Rfam family: Bacterial small subunit ribosomal RNA
Source: RNAcentral